CAUUUGGGUUGUGUUCACUUUUUGGCUAUUGUGAAUAGUGCUGCUAGGACCACUCAUAUACAAGUAUUUUUUGAGUGCCUGUUUUCAAUGUGUUGGUAUAUUUGGACAAAGAUACAAGAGACUGAAAUGUCGGAGCAUUAUAAGAAGUUGGAGAAAAUCACGAGUACGCACUGAAUCUGCGGGCGGUUCAGCAAGCCAGGGUGGAGAAGCCGUGGAGUGUGGCGGUCGGCGUGUUAGGUGGAGCUGCCUCAAGAAGGAAUCUCCAGACAAAUCUGCCUUGGAUUUCUCACUUUAAAAAUAGUUCAACACAUUUUUCAUAUAGACCAAAAAUUUAAAACAAAAGGAAAACAAAAAAAAAAAAAAGGAAAAAAUGAAAGAAGAAAAAAAUGACUAAACGAAAGAAAGCGUUAGGAAAUAUCUCUUUAAGGCUAUGUGGUUGUAAUCAGUGUGCAUCUAUAGAUGGUAAAUGCCAUUUUCCCAUUAUUGGUCUUUAUAUUUGGAGACAACAUGCUUGAAGAUAUAAUUGCAAUGGGAAGUUACUGUGACCACAAAAUUCAGGAAGCUGGAACCCUUGCAAAUGCUCCUCUAUCUCUGUUUCAUUUGUCUUAAGAAUGCACAAUGUGCUAUAUAAGAGAACAGUACACAAAAAUCAGUCUAGACUUGAAAUCACUCACUCUAGACAGAAAAACUGUUUCAGUAAAAUUUGUCCUAAGCCGAGCAAAUUUAAUUAAAUUGCAUUUCCAAUGCAAAA
Non-coding RNA from Microcebus murinus (gray mouse lemur), 751 nucleotides. The record is from RefSeq and is a predicted model, not a curated record. Lineage: Eukaryota; Metazoa; Chordata; Mammalia; Primates; Cheirogaleidae.